UACUUCUCUCUCUUUAGAGCUCAAGUUAUAACUGUGAGACUUAUCCCAAUGUUAUGUUGUGACUUCCAUUAGGAAUUAUUACAACCUCUUAUAACUUGAUUACUAUAUCCUUGAUUAAAUUAAGGUCAAACGUUAUUGAAUCGUUUAUUUAUUACUAAACUGAAUAUAUGAAUAAUGAAUCAAGAGACGUUGUAAUUACUGGCUAAGCUUAUAGACUAAAAAGUUUCAAAUCAAACCUUACACUUCAAUCUUCCGCUUCCGUUCCAGUUGAGUAUUAAUGUACCUGUUAAAACAAAAUUAUAUCAUUCACUCUCUAAUCUCUAAUAUGUGUUAUUGAUUCAGAACUCAUAAAAGAAGAGAAAAAAAAAAAGUUAAAAUCUAAUGAUUGUGCAUAUCUAAAAUUUCAUAGGUUUGUAUUAGAUCUAGGCUUAUGAUCAAACUUUUAAUUUUUUAGAAAACUGUCUUCAAUAACUUUUGUGGGAUUCCUUUUUUUGCUAUUUGUUUCUAUUACAUAUAUAUUUACUUUGUUCCAUCCUUUCUACCCAAAAAUCUAUAUUGUAACUUGUAAGUGCUCGAAAUUAUUGUAAUUUUUAUUAUGUUUUGAUACUUGUCGUGUACUUUACAAGUUAUAGAAUUAGCAUAUUUACUACUGUUUUUAAAAUUUUUUUAAAAAAACUUGUGAAUAAUAAAGAUAUGAUAUUGCAAAAAAGCUAGAAAACAGAAAUGGAAAUAGAAAAGUAGUGAAGAAAAAGAAAGUUGAAAAUUGAAUUGAAAAGGAAAAGGGUAAAAGGAAUGACCUGAAAGAGAGACAUAGUUGAGAGAGAUGACUCCAAAAAGAAAGGGUAUGGAUUGAAGGAACAAAAGGGGGAGUUUAGUGUUGUGUACUUAUAGAGAUAAGAGAAAAGAAAGGUGGUGAAUUGACCAUCA
RNAcentral lists this long non-coding RNA (927 nucleotides) under Cucumis sativus (cucumber). RNAcentral describes it as "long non-coding RNA (CSAT_LNC002076)". Lineage: Eukaryota; Viridiplantae; Streptophyta; Magnoliopsida; Cucurbitales; Cucurbitaceae. The record is from RNAcentral.